This 8478-nucleotide long non-coding RNA is filed under the name Lotus japonicus. Its description in RNAcentral is "long non-coding RNA (LJAP_LNC002137)". Lineage: Eukaryota; Viridiplantae; Streptophyta; Magnoliopsida; Fabales; Fabaceae. The record is from RNAcentral.
UGGUUGUCGCGCAGUUGUGGAGAGCAAUCGUGUUGGUUCUUCGUAACGGUGAGUGGUUUUCAACUGCUAUGACAUAUUUUUAACAGUCUUAUAACUGAUUUAAUUACUUUAACAUGUGACCUAUAUAUCUAAAUUGGAGAAACGUGUUUUAGUAUGUUUGACUAUCAUUCUUGAACUCUGAAAGCUGAUUUUAUGAAACUGAUUUUGAGCAUGUUUUAUGAAUUGGUAUGAGAAGAGAAUGACAUUGGGUUAAUUUUGAAAUUAUGUGAAAUUGAGAUUGUGAACUUGAAAAGCUUUGAUGAGCAUUGAAAAGUUGAUAUUGAGAAUGUUAUUUUGAAAAGCUUUGAUGAGCAUUUGAAAAUGAUUUUGAGACUGUUGAUGAGACUUGUAUUGGUUUGAGAAAACGGUUUUGGGGAUCCGUGAUAGAACCCCGUAGCCGUUAGCGGAGGUAACGGCCUAGGUGCACCUAGCUAGUUUGAUUCCGGGAGGAGAGGGCUAUCCGUUAGAUGAAGCUGCCAGUGCACAGAAAGGGCUAUCAACGAGAUGAAGCUUCCCCCGAUGAGAUUGAUGAGAUAUGACAUGAUUUCGGGUGGAGAGGGCUAUCCGUUAGAUGGAGCCGCCUCUUGGGUAAGAUAAUCCUUAAGAGGAAAGAGCUAUCAAUGAGAUGUAGCUUCCCUCGAUGACACGAUGUGACUUGAGAAAGGAAAGGGCUAUCCGCUAGAUGGAGCCACCCCUAUCGGAGAGGCCAUAUCUUAGGAGAGAGAGCUAUCAGCGAGAUGGAGCCGCCUCAUUGUUCUACAUGUGUGACCCUAUUAAUUAUAUUUCUGGUUUUAUGUUUUUCAUAUAUGUGCAUGAUUUUAACUGUAUUUAUUUGAAAUGGUUAUUUAUGAACUUUAUGAUUUUUGUCAAGUUCAUAGUUGAAAUGAUUUAAACUGGUAUUAUUGAUGAUAUAAAUUGUUUAUACUGAGCUGAGAGCGAAAAACUCGUGCCUAGUUUGUUUCCCCUUCCUGUUCAUGGUGGUUGUUGACUGCUCACUAAGUCUUUGUGACUUACCCCAUUCAUUAUUUCCCUUCACAGAUUUUCAGGCAGCUUAGUAGCAGACUGUUGUCAGAUUCAGAUCAUUCGACUUAUUUCCUUUAGCAGGUUGUCAUAGUGGUGUCUUUUAUUUAAUCCUGGUUAUCUGCAGCUAUAGGGAGUCCUAGGUGGAUUUAGAUUUGGGAUUGUGAUUUAUUGUUAUAUUUUAAGAGUUGGCACUUGAGUGCUCGAGUUGGUUUUAUAUUUCACUUAAAAUACUGGUUAUGGUAGAACUCAUUGGCAGAUGUUGUUAAUUUGUAACUAUUGGAAUUACAAAAGAGAUUCUAGUGUUUUUAUAUAUGUGUACAAAGAUAUUUUGAAUAAAUUGUUUGGAAAAUGAUUCUAUGAGGAAGAGGCUUGCCAGGCUAGGGUGGUAGUCUGUGCGCCGGUCACGGCUUAGGAUUUUGGGUCAUGACAAAGUUGGUAUCAGAGCUUUGGCUGUAGGUCCUAAUAGCUGUAGACAUGAGGUAGUGAUAGAAUCUUUCUAGUAAAUUGUGAACCGCGGCACAACUUACUUCAAAGAUGAUAUUAACGCCUCAUGAGAGUCGUAAUGUUGUUUUCAAGUGUGAUUUUAGUUCGUUCCUCAUUCACUGAAUUCCGAGUCAUGUGAUAUGUUUGAUGAAUAUUCUUUGUUCAGUGAGGAUGCCACCUAAAUUAGGAUUUUCGUUAUACAAUGAGUUAUCUUACUAGGAUCAUCUUAAAGGAGGUCGUGGUCGGCGUUGUGGUUUAGGCGAAGGACCAUUGCCUGUAGGCGCUGGUUAAUUGCUGUGUAGCCGAUAUUAACGUGCUUAUCUUGGGGUUAUGAAAUUCAGGGAUGUUAGAGCUUAUAGUUGGUACGAACGUGUUGGAGUGGUUGUUGGACAGCAACAAGGGAACCCACAUAAGAAAAUUUAUGGGAGUCAGUUAGAGGUUAGACUGAGGAAAGUAACAACAAGUAGGUGCCACUAGAUAGAUUGAGGUCACGGUGAUUGGUUUUGGGUAGCUAAUUAAUUCUCCUACUUUACACAUGCGAGUAAGGAUCCACAAACGAAUAUUGGUUCUUUAGAGAGAUUGUGGACAUAACUUUGAUGCGCAUACAUUAAUGCGGUAUAGUUAAUAUAGUUCUAUCUUCUGAUUGUGGUAUAUGAUUAGAUUGAUGGCUUUAUGCGUAUGAGAGCACUGAGAUCACCUCUGAUAGCAUAAGAUGGAUUUUCUUAGAAAUUCAAGAAUCGUUUCGUAAUAGAGAGAGCUAGAGAGCUUAGCAAUUGAUUUGAGAUGCUAGGGCAGGCCGAGGACAGUGACUCUAGAGAGUGGUUCUAGUGGAUACUUGUCAGGAUUUGUUCAAAGUCGUAGAGUAGAUUUUAGGGGUCUUUACAAUCCAUUUUUAUUCCUAGAAGCAUUUUGAGCAAGAUCUACACGUUGUCCUACUUGUGUGAAGUUUCAUCCCGUAGCUUGCUUUGGAGAUGAUUAGGUGUGCUGUUAGUGCGAUUGAACAUGUCAUAUUACGAGGAAUUUCCUUGUGGUUGUGGUGCAACCUUUCUCUAGUAAUGGAUAAGUGUUAUUAGGAGUAGCUUUAGCAUCUUACCUGCUCCUACAACACUUGUUAGACGUGUUAUGAGUUUUUUGGCCGAGGACGUGUAGUACCAAAAAUUAUGGUAAAUUAAAUGGUAGUUGAGGUUGAUGAUAUGUUAGGAGAGUGGAGCUCGAGUCUUUGCUUUGACUCAUCAAGAUGCUUAGGCAACCAAUGUAAUGACAGUAAGUAUACUCUUCAUAUGAUCAUGAGAUGAUUACGUUUGCUUAAUGCUAAAGAUCGAUACUCUUUUUAUCAUUGUAGUCAACUUAGUGAAUUAUCUUCUUUCCUGAAUAAGAUGUUGGACGUUGCUGUACCUCUUUGGGAGCAUUUGGUAGUUGAGUUUGUGCACCAUUCUUUUUAAGGUAUCCAUUGGAGAUCGAUUGAGAGUUGUUGAUAAUCGUUAUAGCUUAAGACAUGAUUGAUUUUAAUGUGAUCUUUGGAUAUAGAUUGGUUAAUCUUUUAGUCAACGAUACUUUGGACUGUCAUAAAUAGGGUAGUGAGAUUUAAAGUACAUGGAGAAUCUUUUUUCCCAUUUCCGGAGAGCGAAGUGGACACCUCAUAAUCCAAUUUCAGCAUUGAAAGGUUACUACGAAAGAGUUGUAGGUGAUAAUUGAUCUUGGUAGAAGAUAUUCAAUUAGAAAAAAUUGAAACAAGAAGAGAUUUUUGUGGUGGGUGUUUUGCAGAAUGUAUUCCCUAGAAAAUUUCUUGGUGUACCUUCCAAUAAGGGGAUAGAGUUUUCCAUAUACUUAGUUUCUGAACCAGAUUUAUUGUGAAGAAUAGAGUCAAGACCAUAGUUAUGUGUUGACUACAGGCAGUUGGAGAAUAUGAUGGUAUUAAAAAAAAAGGGAGACUUAGUGAUCUAGGUACCAUAAAUGGAAAAUUAAGAAAGAAACAAUUUUGAAGACCACUUACAACACAUGUUGUGACUGUAAUGGGUUGUUGGUCAUGCCUUUGGACUUAGUGACACCACUGCUGAUUUAAGAAUUCAGUGAACCAUAUCUUUGAAUCCUUCUUUGAGCAUUUUAUGAUUGUGUUUAUUAAUGAUAUUCUUAGUUAUACUGAGGAUAAAGAAGAGCUCUAGAAGCUUGUUGAUAGUGGAGUUCCAUUUGGGGCUUGCCCAUUUCAACUUAAUGUUGAGUGUUGACUUACAUGCAAAUUCUUUUUACUCUGGUAGAUGUUAGAAAAAACUCAAGGUUAAGAAUUGAAGAGGAUUUUGAUGGAGAUGAUGUUAGUGGUCCACCCAGAAAACAAUUUUAACACUUAUAGCUUUGGUGGAAAGAAGAAGCUUUUGCUGUAAAAAAAAAAAAAAAACACCCUGGUUGGAAAAAAAAGAGAGAGAGACUUCUGAGUUUGCUAAUUUACUGGUUAGAAGCUUUGGCAAAUUGAUCACAGUCAUCUUCCUAUUGCUUCAUGUGAUAAUCCUAGGCAAUCAUGUAGUCCAUAAUUUCCUAAUUAUUGUAUGGUUACUUGGUGCAACUGUGGCCAUUACAUCAGGUAGUUGCCUGAAGGAUUCUAAGCCCUUUUAUUCAUUAGUUCCAGUAACACUUAAAUAUACUGUAUGAUAGCCUUUCAGUUAAAAAAAAAAAUUGCAAAGGGUGAAGAUGGAAGAGGAUGUUUAAAGUGAAAAGAUUUUAUAGUUUUCAUUAGACUUUGUUGACAUUUAGUAAUUUGAAUGAUAAAUAGGUGUGCCUAAUGUAGAUUGUUUGAGGAAGAAAUAUUAGAGGAGACUCAUCGUUCUUCAUACACCAUACACAUGAAUUCCAUAAAUGAUUCAAUACUUGAAAGCACAUUUAUUGGUGGGAAGGAAUAAAAUAAAAUAAAAACGUAGUGGAAUUUGUUUCUAAAUGGUAUGUCAAGGAGGUAAGGAUAAGCACUAAAACCCAGUAGAGGUGCUUCAAUCUAUUGAGAUAAGUGAAAGUGGAUAGGUAUUGCUAUGAAUUUCAUGAUAGAUUUUCCUAGGACAUCAAGGGGUUAUGGUUCCUUAGGUGUGAUUAUAGAUUGAUUGUCAAAGUUGGCACACUUCUUGCCUGUGAGAGUACCUACACUGGAGCUGCGUAUACUAAGCUAUACUUGGAUAAGUGUGAUUAUUUACUUGCUGUACAUGUGUCUACAAUUAUUGGAAAGCUCAAUUCAUUUCACAAUUUUGGAAGUCUUCCUUGAAUUGCUUUGAUGACUCGCUUGAAUUUAAAUAUUGUUUAUAUCUUGAGCUAAUGCUCAUACAAGCAUGAGAGAGACUAUUAAGAUCUUAGAGGAUAUGCUUUGGGUCUGUGUUCUACAACAAAGAGGGAGUUCAAAGCAGUAGUUGUCUUUGUUUGAAUUUGCUUAUAAUAACAAUUGUCAAUCUAGCAUUUGGAUGACACUAUUUGAGGUUUGGUAUGGUAAGUGAUGCAGGUUACCAAAUAGGUUGGUUUGAAAUUGAAUAAGCUAAACUUUUAGGCACAGAACUUUUCCAUGAUGUAUAAUUAGAUGAGCAUUUACCUUAUGGAACAUCCAGUAGCCAUGGUUGAUAUGAGGGUGAAGUGUAUGCAUUCUAAGAGAAUUGAUUCAGUGAAAGUUCUUUGGUUAGGACCACCUGGUGAGGUGAAGAGAAAUCUUAGGAACGUUGAGUAACCAGUAUCUCUCGCUAUUGGAAACUUAAAAGUUAGCUAAAACUAUAAAAUUCGAGGACGAAUUUUUCUAAGGGGGAAGAUUGAAACAUCUUGUUAAAAAAAAAGGUACAGGAAAUAGAAAAAAAAAAUAUAUACAUAUAUAUUUAAUAAAGCAAAAACUUAUAAUAAUAAUAGUUAAAAAAAAAAAAACAAUCUAACCUAACCCCAUAACCCACGCAGCCCCACACCCACAAUUGCUGAAACCGUAAAAAAAAAACAAUUCUUUUCUCUCUCUGUGCUCGUUGCUUUCUUUCUUCUCCUGUGCGCAGCUUUGGUUCUUUUCUCUUCUCUUCAAUUUUCUUUCUUCUUCAAAGGAAACAAAAUACUACACAAUACCCCCACCAUCAAAUAGACGUUGGUGAAGAGAAAUUAUCUUGCAAGUGGAAAAGAUGUUGGGCAUGGUUUUGGGAGAUAGGGUUUGUGCUAAAGAAUGAGAAGAGUACCCACCGCUUCACGAUUACUCAGUCGGGUUAUUGAGGUAUAUCUAUCACUUAUAGAUUUAAAGAAUGAUAUUAUAGUAUAUGUUAGACUUGAGUAGGAUUAUUUUAGGGGUUUGGGUACAUAAUUGGGGAUUUCAUAGUUGCUCACGGGUAGUACGACAUAAGAUAAUUGUUGCUGAAGGUUUGAAGUUGAUUUUUGGUGUUCAGAUCUGCCGGUUAGUGGUUCGUUUGGUUGUCGCGCAGUUGUGGAGAGCAAUCAUGUUGGUUCUUCGUAACGGUGAGUGGUUUUCAAAUGCUAUGACAUAUUUUUAACAGUCUUAUAACUGAUUUAAUUACUUUAACAUGUGACCUAUUUAUCUAAAUUGGGGAAACGUGUUUUAGUAUGUUUGACUAUCAUUCUUGAACUCUGAAAGCUGAUUUUAUGAAACUGAUUUUGAGCAUGUUUUAUGAAUUGGUAUGAGAAGAGAAUGACAUUGGGUUAAUUUGGAAAUUAUGUGAAAUUGAGAUUGUGAACUUGAAAAGCUUUGAUGAGCAUUGAAAAGUUGAUAUUGAGAAUGUUAUUUUGAAAAGCUUUGAUGAGCAUUUGAAAAUGAUUUUGAGACUGUUGAUGAGACUUGUAUUGGUUUGAGAAAACGGUUUUGGGGAUCCUUGAUAGAACCCCGUAGCCGUUAGCGGAGGUAACGGCCUAGGUGCACCUAGCUAGUUUGAUUCCGGGAGGAGAAGGCUAUCCGUUAGAUGAAGCCGCCAGUGCACGGAAAGGGCUAUCAACGAGAUGAAGCUUCCCCCGAUGAGAUUGAUGAGAUAUGACAUGAUUUCGGGUGGAGAGGGCUAUCCGUUAGAUGGAGCCGCCUCUUGGGUAAGAUAAUCCUUAAGAGGAAAGGGCUAUCAAUGAGAUGUAGCUUCCCCCGAUGACACGAUGUGACUUGAGAAAGGAAAGGGCUAUCCGCUAGAUGGAGCCACCCCUAUCGGAGAGGCCAUCCCUUAGGAGGAGAGGGCUAUCAGCGAGAUAGAGUCGCCUCAUGGUUCUACAUGUGUGACCCUAUUAAUUAUAUUUCUGAUUUUAUGUUUUUCAUAUCUGUGCAUGAUUUUAACUGUAUUUAUUUGAAAUGGUUAUUUAUGAACUUUAUGAUUUUUGUCAAGUUCAUAGUUGAAAUGAUUUAAACUGGUAUUAUUGAUGAUAUAAAUUGUUUAUACUGAGCUAAGAGCGAAAAACUCGUGCCUAGUUUGUUUCCCCUUCCUGUUCAUGGUGGUUGUUGACUGCUCACUAAGUCUUUGUGACUUACCCCAUUCAUUAUUUCCCUUCACAGAUUUUCAGGCAGCUUAGUAGCAGACUGUUGUCAGAUUCAGAUCAUUCGACUUAUUUCCUUUAGCAGGUUGUCAUAGUGGUGUCUUUUAUUUAAUCCUGGUUAUCUGCAGCUAUAGGGAGUCCUAGGUGGAUUUAGAUUUGGGAUUGUGAUUUAUUGUUAUAUUUUAAGAGUUGGCACUUGAGUGCUCGAGUUGGUUUUAUAUUUCACUUAAAAUACUGGUUAUGGUAGAACUCAUUGGCAGAUGUUGUUAAUUUGUAACUAUUGGAAUUACAAAAGAGAUUCUAGUGUUUUUAUAUAUGUGUACAAAGAUAUUUUGAAUAAAUUGUUUGGAAAAUGAUUCUAUGAGGAAGAGGCUUGCCAGGCUAGGGUGGUAGUCUGUGCGCCGGUCACGGCUUAGGAUUUUGGGUCAUGACAAUAGGGUUACUCUGUCUUGAUUAUUGGAUUUGAAAUUGUUGAUAUAUAUUUGUGCAUAUGCGUUGUUGGAUUGUACUGUGUGGCCUUCGUGGCGUUAUUAAGUGGCGAUCAGGAGGUGUGGUCCUAUGAUUGUCCCGUCUUGUGAGACGUUAUAAGUGGCGAUGAGGAGGUGUGGUCCUAUCAUUGUCCCGUCUUGUGAGACGUUAUAAGUGGCGAUGAGGAGGUGUGGUCCUAUCAUUGUCCCGUCUUGUGAGACGUUAUAAGUGGCGAUGAGGAGGUGUGGUCCUAUCAUUGUCCCGUCUUGUGAGACGCUAAGUGGCGAUCAGGACGUGUGGUCCUAUGAUUGUCCCGUCUUGUGAGACGUUAUAAGUGGCGAUGAGGAGGUGUGGUCCUAUCAUCGUCCCGUCUUUUAAGACGUUAUUGAUUGACUCAUAUUGUUGGUUUUAUUGUCAUCUGAUAUGUUAAGUGGUUGAUAGCUGAGUUAAUCUAUAUUGUUGAGGUUGUUGAUAUCUAGUUUGAUUUAUAUUGUUGAGGAUUAUUGAUAUCUGAUUUGAUGUUAUAUUGUUGAGAAUUAUUGAUAUCUGAUUUGUCGUUAUAUUGUUGAGGAUUAUUGAUAUCUGAUUUGUCGUUAUAUUGUUGAGAAUUAUUGAUAUCUGAUUUGUCGUUACAUUGUUGAGGAUUGUUGAUGCCUGAAUAAAUGUUAUGAUGUUAAGUUGUUGAUAUAUGAGUUGAGUUAUGAUGCUAGUUCAUUUACCAUGCUAGGUCAUUAAAUUUGAAUAGCAUGAUUUUCUCUUUUAUACAUGGUAAUUGCAUGGAGUUAACCCUUUCUAUUUGCUACUUGUUAUUUGGGCGCUUAACGCUAUUAGGCGAUGGAGAUCCUUCCGCCGAGGCUUAGCUGCUCGAGUUGGAGAUCGAGUCGUAAGCGGUGGAGUAGAGGUGUGAGAAGCAGCUUUGCUUCUCUUCUUGUGGAUUAUGUUUGAGUCUCCCUUUCUUUAAGAGAACUCUGUUAUUAAAGCCUUGCUUCCGCCACUGUUAAAGUGCGC